Long non-coding RNA from Carya illinoinensis, 2814 nucleotides. RefSeq lists it as uncharacterized. The transcript is spliced from 2 exons. The record is from RefSeq and is a predicted model, not a curated record. Lineage: Eukaryota; Viridiplantae; Streptophyta; Magnoliopsida; Fagales; Juglandaceae.
UUUACUUUUACUUGUUUUUAGUUUUUGGUAUAGGGUCGGUGGGGUCCCUCUCUCUUGGCUGGUUUUGAAUUUUAUUUUCUUGCUAAGUUCUAAGUUCUUCUAGACGAGAGGCGGCUGUUUAUAUUUUUAUUUUUUUUCUUUUCUUUACGUUUUUGUUUUCUUUAGAGAUAUAGGAGUGUCGGCGUAAGGCUGGGGGAUAUUCAUUCCUUUUUAGUUUCUUUUGGUUUUUAGUUUUGAGGAGACGGAACCCUCCCUCUCUCUCGUUGGGAGUUCUUUUUAUUUUUUUUCUUUGAUUAGUUUUGUUGAGACGCAGAGUGAAGGAUUUCAUUCAGCGGCAGCUUACUUCAUUUUUCUUUUUUGUAUUACUGCAGAACUGGGGGAGACGGCGUGGGCUGCUCUCAUUCGGUCAUUUUUAUUUUACUUGCUUUAAGUUUUGCUUUCCAGCUUGUUAUUUUUAUUCUUCGACUUUUAUUUUCAUACAGCAAUUUAAAAUAUUAAGGUUCAUCAUUUUUAGACAUUUUGUUAAUUUAAAAAUGAUAGGCUAGAACUUUAACUUGUGAUUCAAUGAGUAGCUCAUGACUGUUUGGAAUUAUAUUUUCUUCAAGAUUAUGGAAUUUUGAAUGAUUAACUUGAUAGAUUGUAUUUUACUAUAGGAAGGAUUAAAGUUCUAUGUUCUUGAACUUGAUUAGUCGUAGACAUGAAGGCACGAUUGAUGUUUGAACUUGUAACAAGACUUUGAUGGCUUUCUUUCACUUUUACACUUGAUAUAAAAUCUGUCAAGCACCUUGAUUAUAUUGAAAAAGUGUGCUUAUUGUUUAUUUAACCGAUCAUAAUCUCUUGGAAUGAGAAAAUGGUUGAGAGAAGAUGAACUUAGAGGUAAAACCAACUUCAAACUAGAAAUGGGCGAAAAUUGCAUCUCAAGUGUUUGUUUUAUUGCUUCUUGCAAGUUUAAUUCAACUUCUACAUUUUUUCCUUAAAUCUCUUUGUUCUGGAUAAUUUUAGAAAUAUAAAUUCAUAUUUAUUUUCAUCUCUCGUACUCAAUACCUCUUUUACAUAAAAAAAUGUCACAAAUACUUUGAUAACCCUUGGACUUAUCCUGGACUUAUCAUUGAUACAACUUGACACUUCUACACUUGGAAGCACAUUCGAGAACGAGUCAAUUUGUUUGAUCAUAUGUUAUUAAUAUAAAAUAUAUAUUAAUUACAUUUUAUGGCCUAAGAAAUUCUCAACACACUACAAUAGAAACAGCUUUUUACAUCCAAUUCUUUUUCAUCAUUAGAUAAAUUGUCGCAAUAAAUGAGUAUUUACGUCUUUAUUAAACGUACUGCAAAUAACCAUCAGAAAUGGUCAGAUUAGCCACACGCAUAGUGUGAAUUUUAUUUGCAUCGACCUACAUUUAGUUGCGUCAUAUUUUGUCAAUUACAAAAGAAAUUAAACCCAUCAAACCGUUAAGCGUCAAUUUUUGAUAGUCGCAAUAACCAAGCCAGUCUAUUCCGACGCAUCUUUAACUUUUAGUGUCCAAAUUAUUGAUGCAAAAGAAAAUCUAUAUAUGCAGCAUGUACACCCUUCUAUUUUUCCCCAAAUGUUGGUCGCACACUGCCUAUUGUCGUUGCAGGCUAUCGAGUGAAACUCCAAGAAGGGGAUUUCAACUUACCAAGCUUAGAGGAAGCCAUUUUUGUAGAUUCAAGUUAAGAACACAUGAAAAUUUCUCUUAUUCUGAGCCUCUAUUAAAUCUCACUUUCACUUACAACUCCAUUUAAGGUACGUAUUACCAACAUCAAUAUAACCCACAUCAAUGCUCACCUACAUUACUUGAGUAUUUGCAUCAUCUGUUCUAUAAUAGUUGGCCUCCUUGAAUUGUGUUAUUUCUAGUAAAGAGUUAAGAUUGUAAUUGUACUUAGGCAUCUACAUAAUUUAGUGAUUUUGAAAAUUGAACUUUUACUUGCAUGCCAUUUGUUUGAUUAAAGUCCCGUAUAGACAUGAAUGGACCAUUUGCAUAUUUUUGAGUUUUUGUUGGUUUUCUGGAUGCAUCCAAAAUGGAACUGAACUCAAGAGGAUGUGCUUUGAGACGGGAUCAACCUUUACUUAUAGUGUAUAAAUGUUCAUUCACCAAAGUGUGCUCAAUUGUCACAAGAUGGACAAAAGUUUGAUGAAUGUUAGAGAUCGGUUUAGGUCAACAGAAUAUGCUGAAGGGAUUAGACAUUUUCUCACAAUGGCUGGAGCUCACACUGAUAGAAACAACCGAGUGAGAUGUCCGUGUCGAAGAUGCCAUAAUUUCUUGUUUCUUUCUAUCAAUGAGGUUGAAGGAGAUUUAUUCAUUACAGGGAUGGAUCCAGCUUACACAGAAUGGAUAUUUCAUGGGGAGCAAGAAUCAAUGAAUUUUAAUGAAUACAUUCCAUAGCCAGGGGAAAAUCUUUACAAUGGUGAUGAUGGUUACAUUGAUGACAUCCAUGAGAUGUUGGGUGAUAUUCAUGCCGCUACCACCGUGGAUGUUGAUAAAGACAUGGAUACACAUACUGAUUUUCCUAACCAAGGCGCCCAGAACCAACCACUUUGGAAAAACUAUCGAAAGAUGCUCGGUGUCCAUUUUAUCCCAGUUGCACAACCUUUUCAAAACUAUCAUUCAUUGUGAAGUUGCUGCACAUCAAAACAAUAGGUGGCUACAGUGUAAAGUCAUUUGACAUGCUUAUUAAACUUUUGAAGACUACUUUUCCUGAUGCACUCUUGCCUAACUCAUUUAAUGAGGCACGGUCCUUAGAGCAGGGCUUGGGGUUUAAAUAUAUCAAAAUACAUGCAUAUCCAAAUGAUUGCUUA